GUCGAACGAUGAAGCCGCUUCGGUGGUGGAUUAGUGGCGAACGGGUGAGUAACACGUGGGUAAUCUGCCCUGCACUCUGGGAUAAGCCUUGGAAACGGGGUCUAAUACCGGAUACGACACGUCACCGCAUGGUGUGCGUGUGGAAAGUUCCGGCGGUGCAGGAUGAACCCGCGGCCUAUCAGCUUGUUGGUGGGGUAAUGGCCUACCAAGGCGACGACGGGUAGCCGGCCUGAGAGGGUGACCGGCCACACUGGGACUGAGACACGGCCCAAACUCCUACGGGAGGCAGCAGUGGGGAAUCUUGCGCAAUGGGCGAAAGCCUGACGCAGCAACGCCGCGUGGGGGAUGACGGCCUUCGGGUUGUAAACCUCUUUCGACAGGGACGAAGCUUUCGGGUGACGGUACCUGUAGAAGAAGCACCGGCUAACUACGUGCCAGCAGCCGCGGUAAUACGUAGGGUGCGAGCGUUGUCCGGAUUUAUUGGGCGUAAAGAGCUCGUAGGCGGUUUGUCGCGUCGGCCGUGAAAACCUGCAGCUUAACUGUGGGCGUGCGGUCGAUACGGGCAGACUUGAGUUCGGCAGGGGAGACUGGAAUUCCUGGUGUAGCGGUGAAAUGCGCAGAUAUCAGGAGGAACACCGGUGGCGAAGGCGGGUCUCUGGGCCGAUACUGACGCUGAGGAGCGAAAGCAUGGGGAGCGAACAGGAUUAGAUACCCUGGUAGUCCAUGCCGUAAACGUUGGGCGCUAGGUGUGGGGAUGGGUUCCACCGUUUCCGUGCCGUAGCUAACGCAUUAAGCGCCCCGCCUGGGGAGUACGGCCGCAAGGCUAAAACUCAAAGGAAUUGACGGGGGCCCGCACAAGCGGCGGAGCAUGUGGAUUAAUUUGAUGCAACGCGAAGAACCUUACCUGGGUUUGACAUGCACUAGACAGCCGUAGAGAUACGGUUUCCCUUGUGGUUGGUGUACAGGUGGUGCAUGGCUGUCGUCAGCUCGUGUCGUGAGAUGUUGGGUUAAGUCCCGCAACGAGCGCAACCCUUACCCUACGUUGCCAGCGGGUUAUGCCGGGG
Molecule: ribosomal RNA, 1064 nt
Filed under: Saccharopolyspora sp.
Lineage: Bacteria; Bacillati; Actinomycetota; Actinomycetes; Pseudonocardiales; Pseudonocardiaceae
Also listed under: 1 other name
Description: bacterial SSU rRNA
Rfam family: Bacterial small subunit ribosomal RNA
Source: RNAcentral